Pelobates cultripes (western spadefoot toad) is the source of this 294-nucleotide non-coding RNA. NCBI's taxonomy places the organism in Eukaryota, Metazoa, Chordata, Amphibia, Anura, Pelobatidae. The record is from the annotation of a GenBank genome assembly.
AAUAUUGGGACAUAUAAAAAGAAAACAACUCUGUUCCGCAGAGUAUCUGACAUUAUAGUUGCGCAGGAACUUUGUUGACUCUAGAGAACCUCGGGCCAAUCGCACAUCUCCGUUGCGGUGACUCUGCAUGCGGAUGUCAUCCAUAUCAACUUUCGAUGCCAGUUUCUGCGCCUGCCGUGGUGACCAUGGGGAAUCAGGGUUCCAUUCCGUACAGGGACCCUGAGAAACUGCUACCACAUGCAAGGAAGGCAGCAGGCGCGCAAAUGACCCACUCCCGACGCGGGAAGGUAGUGA